AUUUCAUCUCAUUAGGAGUCGUUUUAGUGUGUUUUACAUACUUAGGACGAUUUUGCAUUAGGAUUGCAUGUGCAUUGCAUAUUUGGUUGUUUUCAGGUACUUUGGAUGCUUUUGGAGUUCAAACAGAGAAAAAACAGAACAUGAAGUCAGAAUGCCCAAUGACGCCUUCAGCAAAAGUACUCUAUCGCAGCCUCGGAUCCCUGCCAGGGCAAAUCACUCUAUCGCAACCCCGGAGAAGCAAGCAGCUCAGAUUCACUCAAUCGCGAAACCGGAGGAAUCACCCCAUCAGAACCACUCGAUCACGAGGAAGCCUAUCUGCUCAUUCUGCACUCAACCAGACAAGCUGAGAACAAAGAAGAGAAGAGAAGCCGAAGAAACCACUCGAUCACCACCUCAUGACAUCCACUCGAUGAGGUGGUGAUCCGUUAUUUAUCUCGCUUUUACAUUUUCGCAACUUUGAUAGCCACAGUGUUUCUCCUGCGACUUUGUAUUUUCACUUUCAAGUAUUUGAUAUUCAGUUUUCGUUUAAGUCUUUCAUCAUUUUUGUUAUCAUGAGUAGUGAACUGUAUUUCUGAGGAUGGGAUAGAAUAAUUGUGGUUUACUUGGUCGUUUUAGGUGGUUGAGUUUAGAAUUCUAGAAUCCCUUCUGGAUUAGUUGCGCUUAUUGCUUGUUUCACUGGCUAAUGUGGAGUAUGAGUCCAGACGUCCAACGCUCAGAAGGCGUUUAAUGGGCGUUGGAUCCUAUUAAUUCCAGAGAUAUCUGACUCAACCCCAAGGGAUUGGCUGUAGAGAGGGUAUUGACUUUCACAUGUUGAUUCGAUAAUGCCUGCUUAGUUAGAGAUCGCUAAAGGGAUUUAGGUCAGUGUCUAGCUUUGCUUGAGGAUUUCUAUCACGGGAGUGAAUUAAUCUGUUGUUGAACUUGUUGUCUAGGGAUAGCUUCUGUGAAGUUUUGUCAACCGCCUGAAUAGAUUAAAGAGACCACACUAUUCGAUUACCCCAUCCUUAGGAAUCGUUUAUCCAUUUGAUUGUCUGUUAUCAUUUCUGCUUUGUCAUUCACUUGCCUGCUAUUGCCAUUCCUUCUUUUAGUUUCAUUUCAUUUCUGUUAUUGCAUACUAGGACUGUUAGAACCAACCAACUUUCUGCUUGGCUUGACUUAGAGCUUUCUAAUCAUAUCUCAUAUGUUUGCAUCACACCGGAUUGGAUUAACAUCCUAAAAUACUACAACGACAAGAUAGUGUUUUAGGGAUUAAUUGAGUAAAAUCCUACUAUCAAUUUGGCGUCGUUGCCAAUUUGGUUGUUUGCUAUAUUUGAGAUCAUUAGAAACGUUAAGACCAAGUUCGUU
Molecule: small RNA, 1341 nt
Filed under: Arabidopsis thaliana (thale cress)
Lineage: Eukaryota; Viridiplantae; Streptophyta; Magnoliopsida; Brassicales; Brassicaceae
Description: ATSL167480
Source: RNAcentral